CUUCCAUAUAUACCAUGUCAUCUUUAUCAAGCACUUCUUCCAAGGCAGCACUUCUUCCAAAAGAACAAGUGAGAUGGGCGAGGCAGUUAACAAAUGAAGAGAAAAGUUCAUUUGGAAUGGCAGUUAAAAUAUUGCGAGGAAAUACAGUUAUCAGGUUGCUGAUAAUACUGGAAAUUCCAACUGCUUCAGAGUCUUCUAUUUCAAUUCCAUUGAUAGUAU
Molecule: long non-coding RNA, 219 nt
Filed under: Gallus gallus (chicken)
Lineage: Eukaryota; Metazoa; Chordata; Aves; Galliformes; Phasianidae
Source: RNAcentral